Long non-coding RNA from Temnothorax curvispinosus, 739 nucleotides. RefSeq lists it as uncharacterized. The record is from RefSeq and is a predicted model, not a curated record. NCBI's taxonomy places the organism in Eukaryota, Metazoa, Arthropoda, Insecta, Hymenoptera, Formicidae. The transcript has 3 exons.
UAUCAUCCCAUUGUUAUACUCAAUGUACUGUGAUCAUCCGUAAAAUACUGAGAUCAACGCUAUAAUAUCUUUUACAGUAUCAUUCGGUUUUCUUUCGCGCGCGUAUGAUCUCAGGUUUGACUGAAGGUACGGAAACGAUACGUACGCCUUUCUACCGCGCGCGUAAAAUCUCAGGUUUUACUCAAAGUACUGAGAUGGUAUCGUACUCGUGUCUUGCGCGUGCGUAUAAUCUUCAAUUAUACUCAAGAUAUGAAAACGGUACGUAUAUCAGCGCCAUCUGCAUCCGUCAUUUCUGUUCCGAUCUUUUUCCGGUAGCAGUACGUGGAGUGACAUGGCGACGUGCAAUCCAGGAAGAAAACAGUGUGAUUGAUAUCAAAGUUUAAGGUUAUCUGUUGGCGUUCUCGGAUAAUAACCGAAGUGGAGAUUCAACCGGACAUUCAGGAGAUAGAGGCGAUCCCGGUGGAGAUACCGUGCGAGACCGUGGAGACGAUCGAGGGCGAGGACGAGCAGCCGAUGAUAGCGCUGCAGCCGCUGCCGGCCGGCUUGGUUGCAAAGUAAAAAGCAUAUGCAAGUACCAAGUCCCUGAGGUGCAUUUCGACGUUUUGUUAACGUUUUGUUGACGUUUGGUAUUAUUUUGAUCAACUGCUGGCUGGGUUUCCUACCUACUGCUGUUCAAUAGUCUACGCUGGACAAACUAUACGUGACAGGUAUGUUUUAUUCAACACACAAAUAAUGAAUU